UUAUGCUAAUUGGCCUGUGGGCAGGCCAAAUUUUAUGGGGGGUGCAGGAGGUAGUGCUGACCCAAAUGAGGAGAUGGAAGAUGUUCUCGGAGGUGUAGGUGGUGAUGAAGAGGAGGAGGAUUGAAUUUGUGGAGUUUUGAAGAGAAUUGUUUGUUUGAAUUUCUUUUGACUAAUUCUGUUUUUUUUUUUGGGAAUUUUGUAAUGUACUUUUUGGUGGCUCUAGUUCACCGUGACUUUAUCUUAGCACUUUAAUUUUUCUUUAGUAUUUUUAUAAUUGCAUGAGUACUUUUUGAAAUUUAAGUGUGUUUUUAAUCAAAUUGGUUUACCAACAGUUCUAUUUAAUUGUUCUUACGCUUAAGUCAAGCCUAAAGCAACCAAGAAUUGUUCGCAAAGAAAGAAGCAUAGGAUACUUCGAGUGGUGAUGAUAAGAAUUAGUGUCGGCAUUUCAAGGUACACUUUAUCGCUUUCUAGACUUAACAUGAGUAGUUUGAUGGUGUGUGCAAAUUCCAUUUCAUAAAUUCAUUGAAGUAUAUGUCAGUUUUGAAUCAAAAUAGGACUUAACCAUUUGUGAGGAAACUUUCCAUUGUGCACUAAAAAAGCGGGAAACUGAGCAUUAUUUUGACUCAUUCUUAUCAUGCUAAAUCAUGCAUCAAUCUAAUGUUGUGUGAAAUUUUUGAAAAUGAUAGAGGCAAUUUUUGUGAGAAAAACCACUUGACCAAAAAGCUUAAAUCAACGAACCUUGUGAGGAGUAAUCCUUAGUUAACCCCCUUUGAGCUUGUUAGGAUUCAUUUGAUUGAUCAUUGUAAAAUCAAUUGAAAAUUGUGGAAUAAAUGAAUCCUAAUUUCUUUCGUAUCAGUUGAAACCUCAAACCGAGUUGUUUGCAAAAUUUUUGCCUUUUGCUUAUGUUUA
This 909-nucleotide long non-coding RNA is filed under the name Lathyrus oleraceus (garden pea). RNAcentral describes it as "Pisum sativum (pea) long non-coding RNA (PSAT_LNC032819)". The record is from RNAcentral. Lineage: Eukaryota; Viridiplantae; Streptophyta; Magnoliopsida; Fabales; Fabaceae.